Molecule: ribosomal RNA, 459 nt
Filed under: uncultured bacterium
Lineage: Bacteria
Description: partial 16S ribosomal RNA
Rfam family: Bacterial small subunit ribosomal RNA
Source: RNAcentral
CCUACGGGAGGCAGCAGUGAGGAAUAUUGGUCAAUGGGCGUAAGCCUGAACCAGCCAAGUCGCGUGAGGGAAGAAGGUUCUAUGGAUCGUAAACCUCUUUUGUCGGGGAACAAAGUGUGUGACGUGUCCCGUUUUGUAUGUACCCUAUGAAAAAGGAUCGGCAAACACCGGGCCAGCAGCCGCGGUAAUACGGAGGAUCCGAGCGUUAUCCGGAUUUAUUGGGUUUAAAGGGUGCGCAGGCGGAGUUGUAAGGCAGCGGUAAAAGUGUGGGGCUAAACCCUGUACGGCCGUUGAAACUGGGUGCCUUGAGUGUGUUAGAGGCAGGCGGAAUGCGUGGUGUAGCGGUGAAAUGCAUAGAUAUCACGCAGAACCCCGAUUGCGAAGGCAGCCUGCCGGGGCAUGACUGACGCUGAUGCACGAAAGCGUGGGGAUCGAACAGGAUUAGAUACCCUUGUAGUC